Molecule: ribosomal RNA, 163 nt
Filed under: uncultured Thelephoraceae
Lineage: Eukaryota; Fungi; Basidiomycota; Agaricomycetes; Thelephorales; Thelephoraceae
Description: 5.8S ribosomal RNA
Rfam family: 5.8S ribosomal RNA
About the family: 5.8S ribosomal RNA (5.8S rRNA) is a component of the large subunit of the eukaryotic ribosome. It is transcribed by RNA polymerase I as part of the 45S precursor that also contains 18S and 28S rRNA.
Source: RNAcentral
AUACAAUACAACUUUCAGCAACGGAUCUCUUGGCUCUCGCAUCGAUGAAGAACGCAGCGAAAUGCGAUAAGUAAUGUGAAUUGCAGAAUUCAGUGAAUCAUCGAAUCUUUGAACGCACCUUGCGCCCUUUGGCUAUUCCGAAGGGCAUGCCUGUUUGAGUAUC